AACGAACGCUGGCGGCAGGCUUAACGCAUGCAAGUCGAGCGCAUCCUUCGGGGUGAGCGGCAGACGGGUGAGUAACGCGUGGGAAUCUACCUUUUGCUACGGAAUAGCUCCGGGAAACUGGAAUUAAUACCGUAUGUGCCCUUAGGGGGAAAGAUUUAUCGGCAAGAGAUGAGCCCGCGUUGGAUUAGCUAGUUGGUGGGGUAAAGGCCUACCAAGGCGACGAUCCAUAGCUGGUCUGAGAGGAUGAUCAGCCACAUUGGGACUGAGACACGGCCCAAACUCCUACGGGAGGCAGCAGUGGGGAAUAUUGGACAAUGGGCGCAAGCCUGAUCCAGCCAUGCCGCGUGAGUGAUGAAGGCCUUAGGGUUGUAAAGCUCUUUCACCGGAGAAGAUAAUGACGGUAUCCGGAGAAGAAGCCCCGGCUAACUUCGUG
This 433-nucleotide ribosomal RNA is filed under the name uncultured bacterium. Its description in RNAcentral is "partial 16S ribosomal RNA". It matches the Rfam family "Bacterial small subunit ribosomal RNA", at positions 29 to 507 of the family's 1533-position model. The record is from RNAcentral.